This 460-nucleotide ribosomal RNA is filed under the name uncultured bacterium. Its description in RNAcentral is "partial 16S ribosomal RNA". It matches the Rfam family "Bacterial small subunit ribosomal RNA", at positions 338 to 795 of the family's 1533-position model. The record is from RNAcentral.
CCUACGGGAGGCAGCAGUGAGGAAUAUUGGUCAAUGGGCGCUAGCCUGAACCAGCCAAGUAGCGUGAAGGAUGACUGCCCUAUGGGUUGUAAACUUCUUUUAUAUGGGAAUAAAGUGCAGUAUGUAUACUGCUUUGCAUGUACCUUAUGAAUAAGGAUAGGCUAACUCCGUGCCAGCAGCCGCGGUAAUACGGAGGAUACGAGCGUUAUCCGGAUUGAUUGGGUUUAAAGGGAGCGUAGAUGGGUUGUUAAGUCAGUUGUGAAAUUUUGUGGCUCAACCGUAAAAUUGCAAUUGAUACUGGCAGCCUUGAGUACAGUUGAGGUAGGCGGAAUUCGUGGUGUAGCGGUGAAAUGCUUAGAUAUCACGAAGAACUCCGAUUGCGAAGGCAGCUUACUAAACUUCCACUGACAUUGAUGCUCGAAAGUGUGGGUAUCAAACAGGAUUAGAUACCCUUGUAGUC